UACGUAGGGUGCAAGCGUUGCCCGGAUUUAUUGGGCGUAAAGGGCUCGUAGGCGGUCUGUCGCGUCGGGAGUGAAAACUCAGGGCUUAACCCUGAGCCUGCUUCCGAUACGGGCAGACUAGAGGUAUGCAGGGGAGAACGGAAUUCCUGGUGUAGCGGUGGAAUGCGCAGAUAUCAGGAGGAACACCGGUGGCGAAGGCGGUUCUCUGGGCAUUACCUGACGCUGAGGAGCGAAAGUGUGGGGAGCGAACAGG
RNAcentral lists this ribosomal RNA (253 nucleotides) under uncultured bacterium. RNAcentral describes it as "partial 16S ribosomal RNA". It matches the Rfam family "Bacterial small subunit ribosomal RNA", at positions 524 to 776 of the family's 1533-position model. The record is from RNAcentral.